This 453-nucleotide ribosomal RNA is filed under the name uncultured bacterium. RNAcentral's name for it is "bacterial SSU rRNA". It matches the Rfam family "Bacterial small subunit ribosomal RNA", at positions 8 to 448 of the family's 1533-position model. The record is from RNAcentral.
AGAGUUUGAUCCUGGCUCAGAAUCAACGCUGGCGGCGUGCCUAACACAUGCAAGUCGAACGCGAAAGUCCCGCAAGGGAUAAGUAGAGUGGCAAACGGGUGAGUAACACGUGGGUGACCUGCCUUCGAGCGGGGGAUAACGUCCCGAAAGGGACGCUAAUACCGCAUAACAUCCUGCCUUUGAAGAGGUGGAGAUCAAAGCCGGGGACCGUAAGGCCUGGCACUUGAAGAGGGGCCCGCGUCUGAUUAGCUAGUUGGUGAGGUAAUGGCUCACCAAGGCAACGAUCAGUAUCCGGCCUGAGAGGGCGGACGGACGCACUGGGACUGAGACACGGCCCAGACUCCUACGGGAGGCAGCAGUGGGGAAUUGUUCGCAAUGGGCGCAAGCCUGACGACGCAACGCCGCGUGGAGGAUGAAGACCUUCGGGUCGUAAACUCCUUUCGAUCGAGACGA